This 460-nucleotide ribosomal RNA is filed under the name Salmonella enterica subsp. enterica serovar Typhimurium. Its description in RNAcentral is "partial 23S ribosomal RNA". It matches the Rfam family "Bacterial large subunit ribosomal RNA", at positions 66 to 565 of the family's 2925-position model. Lineage: Bacteria; Pseudomonadati; Pseudomonadota; Gammaproteobacteria; Enterobacterales; Enterobacteriaceae. The record is from RNAcentral.
CUGCGAUAAGCGCCGGUAAGGUGAUAUGAACCGUUAUAACCGGCGAUACCCGAAUGGGGAAACCCAGUGUGAUUCGUCACACUAUCAUUAACUGAAUCCAUAGGUUAAUGAGGCGAACCGGGGGAACUGAAACAUCUAAGUACCCCGAGGAAAAGAAAUCAACCGAGAUUCCCCCAGUAGCGGCGAGCGAACGGGGAGGAGCCCAGAGCCUGAAUCAGCAUGUGUGUUAGUGGAAGCGUCUGGAAAGGCGCGCGAUACAGGGUGACAGCCCCGUACACAAAAGCGCAUGUGCUGUGAGCUCGAUGAGUAGGGCGGGACACGUGGUAUCCUGUCUGAAUAUGGGGGGACCAUCCUCCAAGGCUAAAUACUCCUGACUGACCGAUAGUGAACCAGUACCGUGAGGGAAAGGCGAAAAGAACCCCGGCGAGGGGAGUGAAAAAGAACCUGAAACCGUGUACGU